RNAcentral lists this long non-coding RNA (503 nucleotides) under Androctonus crassicauda. Lineage: Eukaryota; Metazoa; Arthropoda; Arachnida; Scorpiones; Buthidae. The record is from RNAcentral.
CAAACUAAAUUUUUUUUGAAAACUUAAGGAACCAUGAAAUCUGUAAUUGAAUUCAAAUUUUUCAAAAUGUGGUGCUACACAAUUCCACAUAGUUGACUUAUUGUUUGCUGUAACUCAACAGGUAUGACUUGGCUUUUCACUUAGAGGCUAGAAUCAAAUCUGAAUCUUAGAUUGAUUCAGAUUUGAUUCUGGCUUCUGAGACAAGAUUACUUAUCAUAUAUGCUUGUGUAUAAACUGAGGAAUGUUUUUUGAAAAAAUUUUGAAUAAGGAGAAACAUGGUGCAAAAAAAUUGGAAAAUUUUUCAAAGAUUGUAAGAUUCACUAGCUUUGCUCAACGACCUGCCACCGGAUCUGCUCCUUUUGUAAUAUUUCUAGUGGUUCUAUUGGUCUUUCCGCUGCUGGAAUUGAAUCUUUGGCCAUUGGUUCACAUUCUAGAGCACUCAUAUACCCAAUAAAAUUUAUAUACAUCUUACAUAUUAUGUAUAAAAUACACUAUUAUUAAUU